AAUAAAAAAAUCUUUGAUUGGGGCAAUCACGAAGAAAAAGAAACCUUCGUUCUUUAUAAAAAUAAACAAAUUUAAAAUUAAAUAAAUUUGAUCCAGUAAACCUGACUAUAGAAAAAAGUUACCGCAGGGAUAACAGCGUUAUUUUCUUUAAGAGUUCUUAUUGACAAGAAAGUUUGCGACCUCGAUGUUGGACCGGGGUACCCCAGAGGUGCAAAAGCCUCUAAAGGUAGGUCUGUUCGACCUUUAAAACCCUACGCGAUCUGAGUUCAGACCGACGCAAGUCAGGUCAGUUUCUAUCUA
This 300-nucleotide ribosomal RNA is filed under the name Dorometra briseis. RNAcentral describes it as "partial 16S ribosomal RNA". It matches the Rfam family "Bacterial large subunit ribosomal RNA", at positions 2257 to 2643 of the family's 2925-position model. The record is from RNAcentral. Lineage: Eukaryota; Metazoa; Echinodermata; Crinoidea; Comatulida; Antedonidae.